CAAACUGCUGGGCUGAACAUCAAGUCACCGUUAACACUUGGGUCUUUCCUCAACUCAGACAAGCACCAUGUCGCCGAUACCCAUCACUAGAGAAGUUGCUUCGUCAUCCUGCGAUUUUUCAAUUGAUGAUGAUGAUAAUGAGCAGAAGACGUCUUUCUGUCCUCAGAUUAUACACAAAACGUCUUCAUGCUUCCCCUUGGAUCAGCCACACGCGCCUCCUCGCGGUCAGCAGAAAU
This 236-nucleotide unclassified non-coding RNA is filed under the name Hevea brasiliensis (rubber tree). Lineage: Eukaryota; Viridiplantae; Streptophyta; Magnoliopsida; Malpighiales; Euphorbiaceae. The record is from RNAcentral.